This 389-nucleotide ribosomal RNA is filed under the name uncultured Pseudomonas sp. RNAcentral's name for it is "bacterial SSU rRNA". It matches the Rfam family "Bacterial small subunit ribosomal RNA", at positions 202 to 573 of the family's 1533-position model. Lineage: Bacteria; Pseudomonadati; Pseudomonadota; Gammaproteobacteria; Pseudomonadales; Pseudomonadaceae. The record is from RNAcentral.
AAAGCAGGGGACCUUCGGGCCUUGCGCUAUCAGAUGAGCCUAGGUCGGAUUAGCUAGUUGGUGAGGUAAUGGCUCACCAAGGCUACGAUCCGUAACUGGUCUGAGAGGAUGAUCAGUCACACUGGAACUGAGACACGGUCCAGACUCCUACGGGAGGCAGCAGUGGGGAAUAUUGGACAAUGGGCGAAAGCCUGAUCCAGCCAUGCCGCGUGUGUGAAGAAGGUCUUCGGAUUGUAAAGCACUUUAAGUUGGGAGGAAGGGCAGUAAGCUAAUACCUUGCUGUUUUGACGUUACCGACAGAAUAAGCACCGGCUAACUCUGUGCCAGCAGCCGCGGUAAUACAGAGGGUGCAAGCGUUAAUCGGAAUUACUGGGCGUAAAGCGCGCGUA